CCCCUUUUAAUCAGGGUCGUCCAUUGCGUUUGAUUUGAGUCAUCCGAUCGCGAUUAAAUAGGGAGUGAAUCUGAACCGUUCAUCGCAAUCUGAUCUGGACUAUCUGAUCGCAUUUAAAUAGGAAGUGGAUCUGGACCAUUCAUCGCGUUUAAAUCUAACUGUCUGAUCGUGUCUGAGAGGGAACGGAUCCGAGCUGUCCAUGUGUGUGGGAAUUAAUCUGGACUGUCUGAUCAC
Molecule: long non-coding RNA, 234 nt
Filed under: Carica papaya (papaya)
Lineage: Eukaryota; Viridiplantae; Streptophyta; Magnoliopsida; Brassicales; Caricaceae
Description: long non-coding RNA (CPAP_LNC014258)
Source: RNAcentral